UACGGAGGGCGCAAGCGUUAUCCGGAAUUAUUGGGCGUAAAGAGCUCGUAGGCGGUUUGUCGCGUCUGCCGUGAAAAUCCGGGGCUCAACCCCGGACUUGCAGUGGGUACGGGCAGGCUAGAGUGUGGUAGGGGAGACUGGAAUUCCUGGUGUAGCGGUGAAAUGCGCAGAUAUCAGGAGGAACACCGGUGGCGAAGGCGGAUCUCUGGGCCGUAACUGACGCUGAGGAGCGAAAGCAUGGGGAGCGAACAGG
RNAcentral lists this ribosomal RNA (253 nucleotides) under uncultured bacterium. RNAcentral's name for it is "partial 16S ribosomal RNA". It matches the Rfam family "Bacterial small subunit ribosomal RNA", at positions 524 to 776 of the family's 1533-position model. The record is from RNAcentral.